CUACGGGAUGCUCCAGUGAGGAAUAUUGCACAAUGGGGGGAACCCUGAUGCAGCAACGCCGCGUGGAGGAUGACGCACUUCGGUGUGUAAACUCCUUUUAUAUGUCAAGAAAAUGACGGUAGCAUAUGAGUAAGCACCGGCUAACUCCGUGCCAGCAGCCGCGGUAAUACGGAGGGUGCAAGCGUUACUCGGAAUCACUGGGCGUAAAGGACGCGUAGGCGGGUUGGAAAGUCAGGUGUGAAAUCCUACAGCUUAACUGUAGAACUGCACUUGAAACUUCUAAUCUAGAGUAUGGGAGGGGGAGAGGGAAUUAGUGGUGUAGGGGUAAAAUCCGUAGAUAUCACUAGGAAUACCUAAAGCGAGGCGAUCUCCUGGAACAUUACUGACGCUAAGGCGUGAAAGCGUGGGGAGCAAACAGGAUUAGAUACCCGGGUAGUC
Molecule: ribosomal RNA, 438 nt
Filed under: uncultured bacterium
Lineage: Bacteria
Description: partial 16S ribosomal RNA
Rfam family: Bacterial small subunit ribosomal RNA
Source: RNAcentral